CAAGACAUACGUAUUAUUUUGAUAGUUGCUUCUCAUCAGACGAAGCAAAAACUUUAAGUAGUGGAACAAGCACUGAAAUUAUUUUCUAACCAUUUUGUCAUUCAAAUGGAUCCAAGCUACAACUCCUCAGAAAGUCUGGUCAGAAACUCAAGCUUUUCAGAAGAAUUGCUGUCUCAACCGUGGAAAUGUUAUGAUAAAUCAAUAAUGCAUCACCAAAUGUUCAAAAUGAUGGAGGAAUAUGGGCAGGAAAAUCCAAGAAAAGUUAAACUUGUAAAUGGUGUAAAGGUUAUUUGUUCUGAAG
Molecule: long non-coding RNA, 301 nt
Organism: Xenia sp. Carnegie-2017
Lineage: Eukaryota; Metazoa; Cnidaria; Anthozoa; Malacalcyonacea; Xeniidae
Exons: 3
Source: RefSeq, a predicted model, not a curated record